RNAcentral lists this transfer RNA (73 nucleotides) under Sedimenticola thiotaurini. It matches the Rfam family "tRNA". Rfam says of the family: Transfer RNA (tRNA) molecules are approximately 80 nucleotides in length. Lineage: Bacteria; Pseudomonadati; Pseudomonadota; Gammaproteobacteria; Chromatiales; Sedimenticolaceae. The record is from Rfam by way of RNAcentral.
GGGCCGUUAGCUCAGUCGGUAGAGCAGUGGAUUUUUAAUCCAUUGGUCGAAGGUUCGAAUCCUUCACGGCCCA